GACGAACGCUGGCGGCGUGCUUAACACAUGCAAGUCGAACGGUGAAAGCGGAGCUUGCUCCGCUGGAUCAGUGGCGAACGGGUGAGUAACACGUGGGCAACCUGCCCCUCACUUCGGGAUAACUCCGGGAAACCGGGGCUAAUACCGGAUAUGACCUCCUUGGGCAUCCUUGGAGGUGGAAAGUUUUUCGGUGAGGGAUGGGCCCGCGGCCUAUCAGCUUGUUGGUGAGGUAGGGGCUCACCAAGGCGACGACGGGUAGCCGGCCUGAGAGGGCGACCGGCCACACUGGGACUGAGACACGGCCCAGACUCCUACGGGAGGCAGCAGUGGGGAAUAUUGCACAAUGGGCGGAAGCCUGAUGCAGCAACGCCGCGUGAGGGAUGACGGCCUUCGGGUUGUAAACCUCUUUUAGCAGGGAAGAAGCGUGAGUGACGGUACCUGCAGAAAAAGCACCGGCUAACUUCGUGCCAGCAGCCGCAGUAA
Molecule: ribosomal RNA, 483 nt
Filed under: uncultured bacterium
Lineage: Bacteria
Description: partial 16S ribosomal RNA
Rfam family: Bacterial small subunit ribosomal RNA
Source: RNAcentral